Dermacentor silvarum is the source of this 270-nucleotide long non-coding RNA. RefSeq lists it as uncharacterized. NCBI's taxonomy places the organism in Eukaryota, Metazoa, Arthropoda, Arachnida, Ixodida, Ixodidae. The record is from RefSeq and is a predicted model, not a curated record. The transcript has 3 exons.
GGGCAGCUUUGUUUAACUUCAAGACCAUGUGCUGCUGAAAGCUUUCUGAAAGCAACAGGACAAAAAAUAAGGGAUGUGGGCCUUGGAAAGACCAGCUGAUGGAAAAAAUCAACGUCUGUGUUGCACGCAACGCCAUUGUGACAGUCUGCAUCACCAUUUGGCCUGUUGUGGGAUCCCACAAGACACGCUCUGUUCCUCGGUCAAUUACUGAACUUCUGCAAGCCCCAUGGAAGCCAACUGUGAUCCGCAUCGACUGGAACAAAUUCAUUG